RNAcentral lists this unclassified non-coding RNA (311 nucleotides) under Hevea brasiliensis (rubber tree). Lineage: Eukaryota; Viridiplantae; Streptophyta; Magnoliopsida; Malpighiales; Euphorbiaceae. The record is from RNAcentral.
GCACUUUCUUCUGCCGAGAGGACGAAAUCGCUUGAUGCUAUUACUAUUAAAGAUUUCACAUCUGCGAUAACAAAUGGUGAAACUGUUCAUACCUCUGAGUCCGCUCGCUUCAGAGUUGGAGAGCUAUUGCUUGUCAAUGGUGAAUUCUAUUCUGGGUCUCUUCUUGGUAACAUCCCUGAGGGCACAGGGAAAUAUGUUUGGUCAGAUGGAUGCAUAUAUGAGGGUGAGUGGAGAAGGGGGAUGAGGCAUGGGAAUGGAAAAAUUCGGUUUCCUUCUGGAGCAGUUUACGAGGGUGAAUUUUCAGGUGGUUA